UAAUAGGGUGAUAUGGUACUACAAGGUCAUUAAGAUAAGAUGGGGCCUGAUUAUUUAAGACCUUGUAUGUAUAUGGGGGUGGGAAUGCACGUUUGUGUCCGCGUGCGCCUGUUCGUCUGUGUCUAUAUGUCAGGUCAGGUCUUAGACUUGACCUCUCUGGGUACAUCUCAGGCCCUCCAAAGUACGGAGGCCCAUCUCCCCUCACCACACUCCCUGCCAGUGGCUGAUGCCCUCAGACGUUGGUGUGUUGGUGGUUCUUGUCGACUGGGGCUGGGCGAUCAUGUAUGUACCGGCUCACUCCUGGUGGCCGAUUGGCGGGGCCUGCUGCCUGUGGCCCGGCUGGGCCCCCUCCCGGGGGGUGGGGUGCCCUCAGGCCUCUGGCCUCUGGAUCUGCUGGGUGACCUCUCGUUUGGGGCUCUACUCAGCUCUUCCCAGGAGGGUGGCACGGUUCCCCCCUUUUGGUGGUCCUCCUCGGGUCCUCGUACUCUGGGGCCUCUGGAUGUCUGGGACCUGGAUCUCCUCCAUACCUGCUUCAUGCCCUGGUGGACGGGGCUAUGGCUCCCCACACUCCCUAGCAGAUCGUUACAUGGAGAAACCUUUUGAAUACAAGCAUGCUGAUCCACACAGGUGUACACACGGAUAUUCACAGACGCGGACUACACCUUUCUUGGCUGCUGCCUCAAAGCACAUUGUGCGCUGUCUAUCUUGCGUGCUGCACAAUAGCGUUUAAUAUUUAGUAUCUACUGUUAUCUACUGCUAGCUAGUUUAUUGUGAUGGUGCUGGGGUUUUUUUUAAUUAUGUUGCUCUUUUUUGUUUGUUUUCUCUUCUGUUUUUUUUUCUCCAUACAGGUGAUCCAGGUGUUUGUUUGUUUUUCUUUCUUUCUUCCAGCGUUCAUUUGCAAUGGUUUGUAUUACACCAGUUUAUCUGAUCCACAAUAUGGGCCUGUACAUUUUUUAUAUUGUUUUCAGUACAAUGCAUUAUAUUAUCUUUGUCAGUGAGAGAUAAAUCUGCUGUGCCACAGUGUGCCCACAUCCAGCCUUUUUGCAUGGAGACACACUCAUGAAUGAAGCUGAAGUCAUGGUGACAAGUAUGUUCAAAAGUUAUGUGAUUGCCGACUCACUGAUCCUGAGGGAUGACUUACAAUGUUAGAGCUAUUUUGUACAUAUGUUGCUACAGAGAGGUGACAAAUGAAAGAAAAAUAGGAUUAAAUAUGUUCUAUGUGCUGCUAGAACAGUGAGAGUAAAACGUGAUUUUUCCUCAGUUAAUGUUUUGAUGAAGUUGCUUUUUGCUGACUUGAAAUCUUUGCUCUGAGAACAGAAAUGUUUGAUGAUAAAGAGCAUUUUUGUGCUUUUGUACAGCAGACCCAAACCGUGUCAGCACAAGAGGCCCACUAGGUUGUCACCUCAUUUUCUUAACUUUGUGUACUUCUGUGAAUUUAUCAGUAAUAUCUGGUCUCAGAAUGUUGGUUUUUUUUGCCAAAAUGUGUCAGAGAAAAACAACCCCAAAACGCUGAGUAUAAUCAUUUGAAAAAGGCUUCUCUUGGUGCUUUGCGACAUAC
Molecule: long non-coding RNA, 1558 nt
Organism: Astatotilapia calliptera (eastern happy)
Lineage: Eukaryota; Metazoa; Chordata; Actinopteri; Cichliformes; Cichlidae
Source: Ensembl